This 1357-nucleotide ribosomal RNA is filed under the name uncultured bacterium. Its description in RNAcentral is "bacterial SSU rRNA". It matches the Rfam family "Bacterial small subunit ribosomal RNA", at positions 28 to 1381 of the family's 1533-position model. The record is from RNAcentral.
AUUGAACGCUGGCGGCAGGCCUAACACAUGCAAGUCGAGCGGUAGCACAGAGAGCUUGCUCUCGGGUGACGAGCGGCGGACGGGUGAGUAAUGUCUGGGAAACUGCCUGAUGGAGGGGGAUAACUACUGGAAACGGUAGCUAAUACCGCAUAACGUCGCAAGACCAAAGUGGGGGACCUUCGGGCCUCAUGCCAUCAGAUGUGCCCAGAUGGGAUUAGCUAGUAGGUGGGGUAACGGCUCACCUAGGCGACGAUCCCUAGCUGGUCUGAGAGGAUGACCCGCCCCACUGGAACUGAGACACGGUCCAGACUCCUACGGGAGGCAGCAGUGGGGAAUAUUGCACAAUGGGCGCAAGCCUGAUGCAGCCAUGCCACGUGUGUGAAGAAGGCCUUCGGGUUGUAAAGCACUUUCAGCGGGCAGGAAGGCGGUGAGGUUAAUAACCUCAUCGAUUGACGUACCCCCAGAAAAAGCCCCGGUAAAUUCCGGCCAGCAGCCGCGGUAAUACGGAAGGUGCAAGCGUAAUUCGAAUUAAUGGGCGUAAAGCGCACGCAGGCGGUCUGUCAGUCGGAUGUGAAAUCCCCGGGCUCAACCUGGGAACUGCAUUCGAAACUGGCAGGCUAGAGUCUUGUAGAGGGGGGUAGAAUUCCAGGUGUAGCGGUGAAAUGCGUAGAGAUCUGGAGGAAUACCGGUGGCGAAGGCGGCCCCCUGGACAAAGACUGACGCUCAGGUGCGAAAGCGUGGGGAGCAAACAGGAUUAGGUACCCUGGUAGUCCACGCCGUAAGCGAUGUCGAUUUGGAGGUUGUGCCCUUGAGGCGUGGCUUCCGGAGCUAACGCGUUAAAUCGACCGCCUGGGGAGUACGGCCGCAAGGUUAAAACUCAAAUGAAUUGACGGGGGCCCGCACAAGCGGUGGAGCAUGUGGUUUAAUUCGAUGCAACGCGAAGAACCUUACCUGGUCUUGACAUCCACAGAACUUUCCAGAGAUGGAUUGGUGCCUUCGGGAACUGUGAGGCAGGUGCUGCAUGGCUGUCGUCAGCUCGUGUUGUGAAAUGUUGGGUUAAGUCCCGCAACGAGCGCAACCCUUAUCCUUUGUUGCCAGCGGUUAGGCCGGGAACUCAAAGGAGACUGCCAGUGAUAAACUGGAGGAAGGUGGGGAUGACGUCAAGUCAUCAUGGCCCUUACGACCAGGGCUACACACGUGCUACAAUGGCAUAUACAAAGAGAAGCGACCUCGCGAGAGCAAGCGGACCUCAUAAAGUAUGUCGUAGUCCGGAUUGGGGUCUGCAACUCGACUCCAUGAAGUCGGAAUCGCUAGUAAUCGUAGAUCAGAAUGCUACGGUGAAUACGUUCCCGGGCCU